RNAcentral lists this ribosomal RNA (253 nucleotides) under uncultured prokaryote. Its description in RNAcentral is "partial 16S ribosomal RNA". It matches the Rfam family "Bacterial small subunit ribosomal RNA", at positions 524 to 776 of the family's 1533-position model. The record is from RNAcentral.
UACGGAGGGUGCAAGCGUUAUCCGGAUUUAUUGGGUUUAAAGGGUCCGUAGGUGGACCAUUAAGUCAGUGGUGAAAGCCCCUUGCUCAACAAGGGAACUGCCAUUGAUACUGAUGGUCUUGAGUAUAAGUGAGGUUGGCGGAAUGUGUGGUGUAGCGGUGAAAUGCUUAGAUAUCACACAGAACACCGAUUGCGAAGGCAGCUGGCCAGCUUGUAACUGACACUGAGGGACGAAAGUGUGGGGAUCAAACAGG